AUUCCAGCUCCAAUAGCGUAUAUUAAAGUUGUUGCAGUUAAAAAGCUCGUAGUUGGAUUUCUGGGCUGAGCGACCGGUCCGCCGCUGUGCGGUGUGUACUCGUGUUCGACUCGGCUCAUCCUUGUGGGGAAACGCAUUUCGGCAUUAGGUUGUCGAGGCGGGGAACCGCAUCGUUUACUGUGAAAAAAUUAGAGUGUUUAAAGCAGGCAAAUUGCUGUGAAUACAUUAGCAUGGAAUAAUAAGAUAGGACCUUGGUCUAUUUUGUUGGUUUACAUUCCAAGGUAAUGAUUAAUAGGGAUAGUUGGGGGUAUUCGUAUUCAAUUGUCAGAGGUGAAAUUCUUGGAUUUAUGGAAGACGAACUACUGCGAAAGCAUUUACCAAGGAUGUUUUCAUUG
Molecule: ribosomal RNA, 395 nt
Filed under: Stramenopiles sp. MAST-3D
Lineage: Eukaryota
Description: partial small subunit ribosomal RNA
Rfam family: Eukaryotic small subunit ribosomal RNA
Source: RNAcentral